AACGAACGCUGGCGGCAGGCUUAACACAUGCAAGUCGAGCGCCCCGCAAGGGGCGCGGCAGACGGGUGAGUAACGCGUGGGAACGUACCUUUUGGUUCGGAACAACUCCGGGAAACUGGAGCUUAUACCGGAUAAGCCCUAACGGGGAAAGAUUUAUCGCCGAGAGAUCGGGCCGCGUCUGAUUAGCUAGUUGGUGAGGUAACGGCUCACCAAGGCGACGAUCAGUAGCUGGUCUGGGAAGAUGAUCAGCCACACUGGGACUGAGACACGGCCCAGACUCCUACGGGAGGCAGCAGUGGGGAAUAUUGGACGAUGGGCGCAAGCCUGAUCCAGCCGUGCCGCGUAAGUGAUGAAGGCCUUAGGGUUGUAAAGCUCUUUUGUCCGGGAAGAUAAUGACUGUACCGGAAGAAUAAGCCCCGGCUAACUUCGUG
Molecule: ribosomal RNA, 431 nt
Filed under: uncultured bacterium
Lineage: Bacteria
Description: partial 16S ribosomal RNA
Rfam family: Bacterial small subunit ribosomal RNA
Source: RNAcentral